AAAAAUUCGAUGACGAGGUUAAAGUUAAUGGGAUUUGUAAUCACAGAGAGCCGGUAUUGGUGGAAGCCGGCAUUACUGCCAUUAGCGACAUCCCCUCUGAGUGGAAUGCUGAAAGGUUCAUCCCGUUUAGGCAUUCCCGGUAGCUGGUUUGAGUAAGCUAUCGUUAUCAAAGGAUAAGUUCAACUUAUCCAUGAGGCUGCGGUUGCGCAGCGAAAUAGGGUGGUACCAUGAAGCUUUUUCAUCCCUAUG
RNAcentral lists this non-coding RNA (249 nucleotides) under Planococcus massiliensis. Its description in RNAcentral is "T-box". It matches the Rfam family "T-box leader". Rfam says of the family: Uncharged tRNA acts as the effector for transcription antitermination of genes in the T-box leader family. T-boxes are found upstream of many aminoacyl-tRNA synthetase genes and some amino acid biosynthetic genes usually in Gram-positive bacteria. The anticodon of a specific tRNA base pairs to a specifier sequence within the T-box motif, and the NCCA acceptor tail of the tRNA base pairs to a conserved bulge in the T-box antiterminator hairpin. The record is from RNAcentral. Lineage: Bacteria; Bacillati; Bacillota; Bacilli; Caryophanales; Caryophanaceae.